CGGGUAGUAAUUAUUUGCGGGUACCAACUAUCCAUCGCGGAUAUAUCUGUGGAUAUCUGCGAGUGCGAAUUUUUUUCCAUCCCUACAUACAAGACAUUUAAUCAUAAUAGCUCAUGGUUAACUAUGAUGUUUUAGAAAUCAACAAUUAUUUUGGCCAAUGGAUCCAAAUCAUCUAUGUAAAAGCCCAUAAACAAUAAGUACAAAUAACACAUUCUACGAGGUAUGUUAACUAUGUUUUCAUUAAUUACACAUUUAUUGAAUUCUGACGUGAAAGAUUAACUUGAUCGUUGAAGUGUCAUAGGCCCAACUCCUUUUUGUCUUAGGGAGAACGAGCACUUAGGAGAAAGAUUAAUACUCUAAAAAUUCAAGGAUGAAAGGGUUUAAAGAAUCUUUAGAAGUCUUUGUUGGAUACUUACUCGACUCUAUAAGAACAAAUAUAAUUAAAAUAUCGUGAAUUUCACAUUUGAAACCCUAGACUACACCCUUUUCACUUCUUGCUCUUCUUCCUCGCACUACUACCACCCAUAUUCUUGUUAUCCUUCAUAUUGCAACUAUUGCACUCAUUCUUUUUAUCUUUUAUCUCGCAGGUGGCCUUCACCCCCAUUGUUCUUGUUCUGCAUCUUUGUACCAUUAUUGCUACACUCCAUUGUUCUUCUUUUUCAUCUUUUCCCACUGUCGUUACACCCCACUCAUCACUUGUUCUUCGUUGUUUUCUUCAUUACAAAGGUCAA
This 731-nucleotide long non-coding RNA is filed under the name Vigna radiata. Its description in RNAcentral is "long non-coding RNA (VRAD_LNC010272)". The record is from RNAcentral. Lineage: Eukaryota; Viridiplantae; Streptophyta; Magnoliopsida; Fabales; Fabaceae.